GGUGAGGUGGCCGAGAGGCUGAAGGCGCUCCCCUGCUAAGGGAGUAUACGGUUUAUAGCCGUAUCAGAGGUUCGAAUCCUCUCGAGCGCGCCAC
Molecule: transfer RNA, 94 nt
Filed under: Vibrio cholerae
Lineage: Bacteria; Pseudomonadati; Pseudomonadota; Gammaproteobacteria; Vibrionales; Vibrionaceae
Description: tRNA-Ser(gct)
Rfam family: tRNA (bases 7-83)
About the family: Transfer RNA (tRNA) molecules are approximately 80 nucleotides in length.
Source: RNAcentral